Molecule: transfer RNA, 73 nt
Filed under: Diddensiella santjacobensis
Lineage: Eukaryota; Fungi; Ascomycota; Dipodascomycetes; Dipodascales; Trichomonascaceae
Description: tRNA-Phe
Rfam family: tRNA
About the family: Transfer RNA (tRNA) molecules are approximately 80 nucleotides in length. Their secondary structure includes four short double-helical elements and three loops (D, anti-codon, and T loops). Further hydrogen bonds mediate the characteristic L-shaped molecular structure. tRNAs have two regions of fundamental functional importance: the anti-codon, which is responsible for specific mRNA codon recognition, and the 3' end, to which the tRNAs corresponding amino acid is attached (by aminoacyl-tRNA synthetases). tRNAs cope with the degeneracy of the genetic code in two manners: having more than one tRNA (with a specific anti-codon) for a particular amino acid; and 'wobble' base-pairing, i.e. permitting non-standard base-pairing at the 3rd anti-codon position.
Source: RNAcentral
GUCUUUAUAGCUUAUAAGGCUAAAGCACUAUGCUGAAGACGUAGAGAUAGGGGUUCGAGACCUCUUAAAGACA